UGCUGCAACAUCCCCGCGGAUGGGCUGGCGCGAAGCGAUCUUCCGCUUCGCUUCCAGAUGUGAAUCCGCUGCAGCU
This 76-nucleotide small RNA is filed under the name unclassified sequences. RNAcentral's name for it is "NAD+-I sequence". It matches the Rfam family "nadA riboswitch". The record is from Rfam by way of RNAcentral.